UGUAAGAGCAAACUAUACCCAGUUUAUGAUUUCUGCCCAGGCGUCUCUGAUGUUAGCAGCGAUUCACCUUUGACUUGGGACAGAAGGCAGCAAAAGUGGGCGGAUUCCCUUUUCGUGUCAGACUAGUGUGAUAAUCUCCUCCGAAGCCCGAGAGAUUCCCAGUGUUUGCGCCAACAAAUACAUGGCGAAAGGCUGAGGUAAAGAGGGCUCUCAUUCUAGAGUGUGGCCCCGUCCUUCUCACUCAUCUGAGUCAUCAAGAUGGCGUCCUGUGCUGGGGCUGACGGGCUCCAGAGAGCUAUGCAGGGCGCCUCUGGGAAGCCCCAGGGCACAAUGGCCAGGGUCCAUUUGGCCAGGUCAGCACUAGGCUAUAGAAUAAAAACCAUGUGAUUGAGGUCCUGCCUAGAGCCAAGUGUUCUCUGGCAGCAGCUGCAGAUCCACAUCUCCAAGAGGUAGGGUUUUAUUAAGUCUAAUGCAGAUGUAUUUGAAGAGUUAGCACAGCAGUUCUCAAUCAAUCUGUAGCCCUUUGGGGGGUGAGGGUCAAACAACCCUUUAGGCUCGCCUAAGACCAUCAGAAAACACAGAUAAUUAUGGUGGGGUCCCCACUGCAUGAGGAACUGUGUUAAAGCGUUACAGUGUCAGGAAGGUUGAGAAUCGCUGACUUAGUAGCUGAGAGACAGCUUAUCCCUGAUGGCUUUUGGGGUCAGAUACAUCCCCACUUGUGGUGUCCUGGACAGAUGGUGGGCCCUGCACUCC
This 753-nucleotide long non-coding RNA is filed under the name Mus musculus (house mouse). RNAcentral describes it as "long non-coding RNA chr4:134493221-134493974". The record is from RNAcentral. Lineage: Eukaryota; Metazoa; Chordata; Mammalia; Rodentia; Muridae.